RNAcentral lists this unclassified non-coding RNA (3023 nucleotides) under Hevea brasiliensis (rubber tree). Lineage: Eukaryota; Viridiplantae; Streptophyta; Magnoliopsida; Malpighiales; Euphorbiaceae. The record is from RNAcentral.
UUUGAUCUUCCAAGAGGUUUUAUAACUUCAAUUAAAAAAAAAAAUUGUAGUUUAUCCAAACAAAUAUUCCUUAAUAUUUUGAAGGCGAUUUCCUACCUAGUUCUUGAUUGGACACGGGCCCACCGAGCACACUCAACACAGAUACAGGAAGGGUUAAAAAGAGAAUACAUAAAUGAAAAGACGGCAUCAAUUCGUGACUAUUGGAUGCUUUUAGUCAAAACUCAAUAUCAAUGGGAAGAGAUGUCCACAUCCCAACAAUUGCAAUUACAGCGGAAUGUCAACCUCUUCUUCUCUCUCUCUUUGUUCCAAACCCCAUUUCUCACGCCUAAAAUUUCAAUCCCAUCCUCAUACAUUUCCCUUUAACGCCACCUUCUGUUUCCGUUCCCGUUCCGGUUAUUGUCCCGGUUCCCAGAAUAAUUCCGUUGCCUGGACCUAUUAUCAGGAGUAUAAUUCCACCUUGGAUUCAUUCUGGAUCCCUGAUAAUUUCUUCCAUGCAUGUACUCCGGUGAUCUAACAGGACUAUUCUCCGGACUCCAAGACUCAAAACCCUCAUCACCAGCAUAUUCAUUUCUUUCCCAGGGAGGACCCGACUGCAGGUGAGGCUGUACAGGCCCCCUAAGUGAUGCAUCAUAAUUGGUUCGAUUAACUUGAGACGGCGAGCUGGUAGCUAAUCCCUGCCUACCUCUCCAGGAAUCGGGCAUUGAACCCAUGUUUCCUGUAGAUGGCCUAGAAGAGUGGACAAGAGCUGGCUCGGAUAUGAGAGGAUGUGAAUGAGCCGGUGUUGGUGUUGCUAUUGGCAUUGGAAAUGGAACUGCUUGUCUGUCUGGAGUAUUCAUUGCAAAAGAUACAAUAGGAGCUGGUUUAACGUUGUUCACAGUUUCAAUCCGCACUGAAGGCCCAGCUGUGGCUGAGAAGUUGUGUAAGUUAGGGCUAAUAACGGGUAAAUUUUUCGUGGCCAAGCCCAUUUCUGAAACCGGUGUUUGUAAUAUUGAAGAAUUAGUAGGGAGUGACUGAUGUGACGGGAGAACCAUAGAAGGUUGUCGGUUCUCAGGUAUAGUGGAAGUUGUUUGAGGCCACGAGAAGGGAGGAAUUGCUCCAUAUACUUGUUGGUGUUGGAGUGGUAAUUGCAGGCUUGCUUGCUGUUGAGGCAUGCUAAUGUUCCUUGCUUGAUUCUGAGACUGCACCAAGCCGGUGAGCUUAUCUACGGUGGAAAUGUAGGUAGGAACCCCCGGAUCGGUAAAGGCAAUUCUGUUCCCUCCUGAACCUUGCUGUGAAAAGGGAUUCUUGGCAUCUUCUGGUCUCCAGCCACUCUGCAAAAUUUACAGGAUUUUAAAAGGAAAAAAAAUUAUAUCAGUAUGAGAUUUAUAACCAGGAAGAGCAUAAUUAUACUACCAAUUUUGCUCUUCUACAAAUACUUUUUUUUUAUUACUAUUUUUGGUUCUAGUGACGACAGGACAGGUGAGGGGCCCACCAUAUAUGCUACUACACCUAAGACAUCACCCCGCCACUACCAGACCACGGGUUCAUGAUUCAUCAGCCGCGAUCCUCUGCAAAUAACUUCCAAUGGCAUAAAGAAAAUAUAGAAGCAAAUAUUCAUCAACUACGAUUAUAAGACACUCCACUAGCCACUAGCCACAUUUCCCCCAUUUAAAGCGAUUACUCUAGAUUAGGGCUGGAUGGACUCACAUUCUACCGCUCUUGGGAAAGUACUAAAACUAGUCAACUCCCAGGGUAAACCCCGGUCCCGGAAUUGGCUAGGCCUCUUUCAAGUUUUGAUACUUUCUUUUUUCUGAGCCCAUUGUUAAUUGACAGUUACCUUCCAGUUCCUUUAAUUUAAAGCAUGCAUUCACAUAUUCAUAUAAACUAUAUAUAAUCCAGGGGAGCAAAUCUCUCUGCCCCCAAGUAGUUGACAAAAGUUGAAUGAUUUGUGGCAAAACUUGUUGCAUGGGCCUAAGUCACGCACCGUUCCAGAAUUGCUCGAGGGAGUUGGCGAUGGAAGAGAAACUUCAACCCUCUCCUCUAUCUUUCCACUAAAUCCAUUUAAACAACUUGCUAAACCAGCCCCAUUCCUCUUGAUCAUAUCAAGCAGCUUCACAGUUUCCUCGGUUGAUAAAUUACCAGCUUGGCCAGAAGUCAGUGCAAUGACCAAUUCCGGAUUUUUAAGCAAUACAGCAAGCAACUCAAGGUCAGGCUCGGCAGCACCCCCACCAAUAAUUUGGGGCAAGGAGGGUGCCUGUGCAACUACUGUGUUGUUUACUGUAUUUUCAUUAUGUGACACCUGUGUUUCUGCAACAUCAGCAUCAGGAGGUUGUUCAAUUGGGAUAUCUGGGGUCAAUGUGUCAUCGUAGUCCAUCUCACGGUCCCAAGGUUCCCUGGGAUUAGAUGGUAUAUCCUGGGCUGUCCUGUAGAUGGUUUCAAGCUCUCUACGGUUUCUGUUUUUCUGACCAUCAACUUCUUUACUAUUCUCACCAAUGCCCACUCUCCAGAGACUGUUCAGUUUGAUUUCUGAUGGUGUCUGCCAAGGGAUCUGGACCCUCCUGCACAAUUCUCCCAAAGGCUCCUUUGAAUUCAUUUUAUGCUUUGGAUCCAGGUGACCUUCUUGUUUAUCAGAAAUUUUUGGGGGAACUAUUACAGGUUUUUCAGGUUCCCCAAUCUUAGGCUGAGGAGGAAUUUUAGAUGCUGGGAUCAAACUACAGAAUGGAGUAUUUGAAGGCUUAUUAGAACUCUCUGUCUUCAUACUAUUAGCUCCAUUAGAUGAGGAACCAGUUUUCCCAUGCUUUCCCUGCAUGAAUAAAGCACGCAUUUUUGCCUUUUGGAUAUCAUCAGUAGACAUUGGGCGACUUUGACUGACAGAUACUGCUUUUGUGGUCAGGGGGCUUCUGCUAGCUGUUAUAUGGCCUGGCUGUUCCACAAGUUGAACUUUUCUGCGUUCUCUGGUAAGGGAUACACCUAGGACAUGCUUCCUACUUGAAUCAUCUGUUGAUGACGGCAACAACUUUAAUGUUAGCGAAGGCUCCAUUUUC